RNAcentral lists this ribosomal RNA (254 nucleotides) under uncultured bacterium. RNAcentral's name for it is "partial 16S ribosomal RNA". It matches the Rfam family "Bacterial small subunit ribosomal RNA", at positions 524 to 776 of the family's 1533-position model. The record is from RNAcentral.
UACGUAGGGUGCGAGCGUUGUCCGGAAUUAUUGGGCGUAAAGAGCUCGUAGGCGGUGUGUCGCGUCGGCCGUGAAAACCUGCAGCUUAACUGUGGGCUUGCGGUCGAUACGGGCAUCACUGGAGUUCGGCAGGGGAGACUGGAAUUCCUGGUGUAGCGGUGAAAUGCGCAGAUAUCAGGAGGAACACCAGUGGCGAAGGCGGUGCUCUGGGCCGGAACUGACGCUGAGGAGCGAAAGCGUGGGGAGCAAACAGG